Mustela lutreola (European mink) is the source of this 3529-nucleotide long non-coding RNA. RefSeq lists it as uncharacterized. The record is from RefSeq and is a predicted model, not a curated record. NCBI's taxonomy places the organism in Eukaryota, Metazoa, Chordata, Mammalia, Carnivora, Mustelidae. The transcript has 3 exons.
GUCAAGACCCAGGAAGUCACAGCUGCGGAGUUUUGGCUGCUGCCGUGAACCGAGCUAGCGGGCGCGCCUGGGGUCCCAGUGUCUCGCGUGAGGCGCGGGAGCCUCCUGGUGACUCCUGGCUCUCACUCUGCGCGGAGGGACUCGAGCGAGCGCCUGGAUGCGGGGCAGAGGCGCGGGGAGAACGCGAGGCCUGGCCUGCCACCCGCCGCCGCCCCCUGGGAGCCCGGGGGCGCGGGUCUCUCCUGGGCCUCCGGUCCGCGGGCGAAGCGUGCCGCCUGGAAUAAUCCGAGGCCGGAGAAGUGUUUGCUCUGGGUGAAGCCAGCCACAAUGUCCUGACGCUACUCAGCCUGCUGCAACCACAGGAGUUAGCACGGAAGUGGAUCCUCGAGGAGUUGAACCUUGAGACGAUCAGAAACUUUUUUUUUUUUUUUAAGAUUUUAUUUAUUUGAGAGAGAAUGAGUCGAGUAGGGGCCAGGCAGAGGGAGAGGGAGAAGCAGACUCCCCGCUGAGCAGGGAGCCAGUGCAGGGCCUGAUCCCGGGAUCCUGAGAUCAUGACCUGAGCUGAAGACAGUUGCUUGAUAGAGUCACCCAUGCGCCCCGACCACAGACUCUAGAGAGACUCUUAGCCAGAACUGUCUAGCUGUGCUGCCUCCUGACCCACAGAAACUGUGAGGCACUAAGUGUUUGUUACUUUAAGGCACUAAAUUAAGGGUAAUUCGUUAUCCAUCGUAGAUAGCUAAUGGCAAUUUGUAGACCUUCUGUCUUCAAGCCCAUCCACUGUGUUGACGCAGAGGUCCUGGGGAGACCUCAUGCUUAGCAGGUCCCAGAGCAACUCAUUACCUUCCCCACAGACCUGCGUGGGGCUCACAGACCCGAUGCGGGGCUCGAUCCCAGGACCCUGGGAUCAUGACCUGAGCCGAAGGCAGAGGCUUUAACCCACUGAGCCACCCAGGCGCCCCCAUAAUUAGUAUUUCUUUAAAGAAUAUAUAAUGCAUUGGAAUGACAGACACGGUUUACAGGAAAAGACUGUGGUUGUCUACGUACUGAAAUCUGAUGAGGGGAACAGCAGCGAGGACCAAGUGUAAGACUUGACCAAAGGGGCACCUGGGUGGCUCAGUCGGUUGAGCAUCUGUGUGACUGUUGAUCUUGGCUCUGCUUAUGAUCUCAGGGCCAUGAGUUCAAGCCCCGUAUUGUGCUGCACACUGGGCAUGGAGGUUACUUAAAAAAAAGAAAAAGAUCUGACCAAAAAUUGGAUAUAUUAGGAGGGAAAUUCAGAUUACUCCCAAAUUCUGAAUACCUGAGCACAUGAGUGGUGGUGUUAGUAGAACUUGGGACAGCAGGAGGAGCAGAUUUGGGAAGAAAAAUACGAGAUUCUUUUUCAGUAUUUUGAGCUUGACAUUCCAGGGGCACAUCCAGGAUCUGGGCCGUGGGAGGGAAGGUUCUUGAAGGAAAGAAGGAAGUUUGGAAGUCAGAGAAGGGACAGUUAACAGCUGUGGACGGAUGAGCGCGCACAAAGUGGGACAGGGGAAGAGCAGGGCUGAGCAGAGCCCACAGUUUGGGGACAGGAGUAUGGGAGCCCCUGUCGGAGCCUGAGAAAUCAAUCCAGGAUGUCAAAGGAAACCAGGAGGGCGUUGUGUUCCCUCUGGAGGAGCGGAGAUGCUGGGACAGGGUGACAGCGCGUCAGUACUGAGGAAAUUGGGAAGACACACUGAAUAAGGCCGUGCUGGUGGGCGGUGGUUGGGGGGGUACAGUGAGCUCGCAGAAAGCCGUUUCGGCAGAAGGAUUAUGAGCAAUAGCAGGGGCGGAGGAAGAUGGAGCGCGGGGAUGUGUGUCACCUGUACCAGGAGGGUAAAGGAAGUAAAGUGACCAUGUUUUCGUGUCCCAGGGACUUCGUUAGGGUCUCGGUUCUUUCAUCACCAGGGAUAGCGUGCUUAGUGACACUGCCUCGUCUCUCUAGUGGCAUUAUUGAAUUACUUGUUAGCAUCUUUGGUUUCCCCACAGACUGAACCUGUGUGGCCUCACGGGACUUUGGGUCCCCGGUGCCCAACUGUGUGUGCGCGCCCGGCCGCGUGAGUUCCCAGGGUGGGCUGAGGUGCGGGAGGGUGUGAGGCCCACUGUGAGCCGCGUUGUCGGCCCCCGAGUACCGCGUGGACGCAGGUGGCUCACAAACCGAGAGGACAGCGGUAGUGAGAGUUCCUCUCUAGAGUCCGUGCCCUACCCUGUCCUGGUAAGACCUGCUUGUUCCGCAAGAACCGGGGGUACACAUAGGGCCCACCUGGCACGCGGGGGAACAGACCCUUGCUCCCAGUGUGGCUCUUCCCGGUGCACUGUCUUCAUUCCUUCCUCUGAAGCAGUCUUUGUGCUUCCCAUGUGCUCUUAAGACAGUGCCUGCCGGGCACCUGGGUGGCUCAGUGGGUUAAGCCUCUGCCUUCGGCUCAGGUCAUGAUCUCAGGGUCUUGGGAUCGAGCCCUGCAUUGGGCUCUCUGCUCGGCGGGGAGCCUGCUUUCUCCUCUCUCUCUGUCUGCCUCUCUGCCUACUUGUGAUCUCUCUCUCUCUCUGUCAAACAAAUAAAUUAAAAAAAAAAAAAAAAAAAAAAAAAAAAGACAGUGCCAGCCUUCCUGUCCUUUUCCUGCUCCCUUCCUUUGGUCCUUUUGUAGGUGAGUGCUGGUUCUCCGGAAUCGUUAGAGGAUUCAGUGAGACAGCAAUUACCUGCAUAGCACCCAGCACACACAUAAUAGCACAAGACUUGCCCCGAGCUGAAAAUACUAUGACCGAAUGGACUGGAGGUGAACUGUGCAUCUUAGCUGCUGAAAGAGGGAAGGAGGGUUCAGGCAGGGGAGAGCUGGCCAGUCAGUCAAGACAGAAGACAUUGUCAUUAGACCCAGUUUUCUAAAGAACACUGGGCGGGCAGCAAAGUCUCGGGCAGUUAGGGGGCCUCCAGCAAUGGUGGGGCCGGGUGAGCACCACGGGCACACCGAGUCACUCAGCCCUGCGGAGUGUACCAGCCCCUCCUUGGACACGACUUAGGAAGAAAACUUUGCAAUCCAGCCAGCAUCAGUCUAGAGGAAUUACACUCCUUGAGGAAUGUCAUAUUCAGGCCAAUCUGAAAAGUGAUUUCUAGACUUCUGCAUGCAGAACAGGUUCUCAGUACCACUUGUCUCUUGGCAUGGAAGGUCGGCAGCUGAUGAGUUCUUGGAGGACCGCGAUCACACUGGUAGAUACCUGCUUGAUGUCCUUAACAGUUCAGUACGUCUUUACUCAAAUUAGGAAGGUUUUCAAGUAGCAUGGGAGGUCAUCAAUAAAAGAUUUUAUUUAUUAAUUUGACAGAGAGAAAUCACAAGUAGACGGAGAGGCAGCCAGAGAGAGAGAGCGAGGGAAGCAGGCUCUCCGCCGAGCAGAGCGCCCAAUGUGGAACUCGAUCCCAGGACUCUGAGACCAUGACCCGAGCCGAAGGCAGCGGCUUAACCCACUGAGCUACCCAGGCGCCCCUAUUUGUUUGCAUUUCUAAUGAUAGCUCAAAGAACGUUGU